UACAUAGGGGGCAAGCGUUGUCCGGAUUUAUUGGGCGUAAAGAGCGUGUAGGCGGUCUGGUAGGUCCGUUGUGAAAACUCGAGGCUCAACCUCGAGACGCCGAUGGAAACCCUCAGACUAGAGUCCGGAAGAGGAGAGUGGAAUUCCUGGUGUAGCGGUGAAAUGCGCAGAUAUCAGGAAGAACACCCGUGGCUAAGGCGGCUCUCUAGUACGGUACUGACGCUGAGACGCGAAAGCGUGGGGAGCGAACAGG
RNAcentral lists this ribosomal RNA (253 nucleotides) under uncultured bacterium. RNAcentral describes it as "partial 16S ribosomal RNA". It matches the Rfam family "Bacterial small subunit ribosomal RNA", at positions 524 to 776 of the family's 1533-position model. The record is from RNAcentral.